Molecule: ribosomal RNA, 55 nt
Filed under: Archidasyphyllum excelsum
Lineage: Eukaryota; Viridiplantae; Streptophyta; Magnoliopsida; Asterales; Asteraceae
Description: partial 5.8S ribosomal RNA
Rfam family: 5.8S ribosomal RNA
About the family: 5.8S ribosomal RNA (5.8S rRNA) is a component of the large subunit of the eukaryotic ribosome. It is transcribed by RNA polymerase I as part of the 45S precursor that also contains 18S and 28S rRNA. Functionally, it is thought that 5.8S rRNA may be involved in ribosome translocation.
Source: RNAcentral
AAANCGACUCUCGGCAACGGAUAUCUCGGCUCACGCAUCGAUGAAGAACGUANCA